Molecule: unclassified non-coding RNA, 200 nt
Filed under: Helotiales sp.
Lineage: Eukaryota; Fungi; Ascomycota; Leotiomycetes; Helotiales
Description: partial internal transcribed spacer 2
Source: RNAcentral
UUAAGUUCAGCGGGUAUCCCUACCUGAUCCGAGGUCAACCUUUGAUAAAUUGGGGGUUGCUGGCUAGCACGCACCCGGUCCUCCAGAGCGAGAAGAAUUACUACGCUUGAAGCCGGACGCGCCGCCACUGAUUUUGAGGCGCACCGGGACGGUGGCACCCAAUACCAAGCAGAGCUUGAGGGUUGUAAUGACGCUCGAAC